Molecule: ribosomal RNA, 440 nt
Filed under: uncultured bacterium
Lineage: Bacteria
Description: partial 16S ribosomal RNA
Rfam family: Bacterial small subunit ribosomal RNA
Source: RNAcentral
CCUACGGGUGGCAGCAGUAGGGAAUAUUGCUCAAUGGGGGAAACCCUGAAGCAGCAACGCCGCGUGGAGGAUGAAGGUUCUCGGAUUGUAAACCCUCUUUGUUAGAGAAGAUAAUGACGGUAUCUAACGAAUAAGCACCGGCUAACUCCGUGCCAGCAGCCGCGGUAACACGCAGGGUGCAAGCGUUACUCGGAAUCACUGGGCGUAAAGAGCGCGUAGGCGGGUUAGCAAGUCAGAUGUGAAAUCCUAUGGCUUAACCAUAGAACUGCAUUUGAAACUGGUAUUCUAGAGUAUGGGAGAGGUAGGUGGAAUGCGUGGUGUAGGGGUAAAAUCCGUAGAGAUCAAGAAGAAUACUCAUUGCGAAGGCGGCCUACUAGAACAUAACUGACGCUGAUGCGCGAAAGCGUGGGGAGCAAACAGGAUUAGAUACCCCGGUAGUC